GUGCCAGCCGCCGCGGUAAUACGUAGGGUGCAAGCGUUAAUCGGAAUUACUGGGCGUAAAGCGUGCGCAGGCGGUUGUGCAAGACAGGUGUGAAAUCCCCGGGCUUAACCUGGGAACUGCACUUGUGACUGCACGGCUGGAGUACGGCAGAGGGGGAUGGAAUUCCGCGUGUAGCAGUGAAAUGCGUAGAUAUGCGGAGGAACACCGAUGGCGAAGGCAGUCCCCUGGGCCUGUACUGACGCUCAUGCACGAAAGCGUGGGGAGCAAACAGGAUUAGAUACCCUGGUAGUCCACGCCCUAAACGAUGUCAACUGGUUGUUGGGAAGGUUUCUUCUCAGUAACGUAGCUAACGCGUGAAGUUGACCGCCUGGGGAGUACGGCCGCAAGGUUGAA
RNAcentral lists this ribosomal RNA (393 nucleotides) under uncultured bacterium. Its description in RNAcentral is "bacterial SSU rRNA". It matches the Rfam family "Bacterial small subunit ribosomal RNA", at positions 505 to 898 of the family's 1533-position model. The record is from RNAcentral.